Long non-coding RNA from Rhipicephalus sanguineus (brown dog tick), 308 nucleotides. RefSeq lists it as uncharacterized. The transcript has 3 exons. NCBI's taxonomy places the organism in Eukaryota, Metazoa, Arthropoda, Arachnida, Ixodida, Ixodidae. The record is from RefSeq and is a predicted model, not a curated record.
ACGGAAGACGAAGCCAGCUAUAAGAAAACACUGGUAAAACGACCACAUGAAAAUAUCACCACAGCGACACCUAUAACCAAGACGGAAAAUACCACGUACAAAGAAACACAAGAGCCACGCCAACAUACAAAUAUGACCACAGUGGAGCCAAUAACCAAGAUGACAUGACAUGACAUGACAUGACAAGAACUUUAUUGGAGACCUGAGGAACUCGAAUCUGGGGAGCCGGAGUCCACCAGAUCAAGUUGGUCGCUCCGCCCACGAUGGGACUGGAAGUCCAAGUUCCGUCGCGAUGUCGUGGGCCCUCU